This 384-nucleotide ribosomal RNA is filed under the name Triticum aestivum (bread wheat). RNAcentral describes it as "partial small subunit ribosomal RNA". The record is from RNAcentral. Lineage: Eukaryota; Viridiplantae; Streptophyta; Magnoliopsida; Poales; Poaceae.
AUGGCUUUCACACCACCACCGUACAUCCUCGGAAUUGAUUUGAGCAAGCCAAUCGAGCCAGUUGAUGCUAUCCCGGUGUCUUAUGCAUUCUUGUCACAGCCGAAACAGAUGAUGGCGCAGCCAAUUGUAGAUGGCAGAAAGGCUGUCAAAUUUGCCGAGCCUAUUGUUCAAGGAUCACUUGUGGAGAUAUCAUCAUCAAUGGAUGAAGUGCUAUGCAAGAUGGAGCAGGAUGUGCUCCUCAAGAAAAAAAUGCAGACAAAAGCCCCUUCUAGCACACCUGUUGCACACGCUACCACUUUUGUUGAUGUGCAGAGCAGCGCCACCCCAGGUUCUAUGCGGCGGGCAAGGGUUGUGCAACCCCCCCCCCCCGGAAGUGGACUAUGA